AUUGAACGCUGGCGGCAGGCCUAACACAUGCAAGUCGAACGGUAACAGGAAGCAGCUUGCUGCUUUGCUGACGAGUGGCGGACGGGUGAGUAAUGUCUGGGAAACUGCCCGCUGGAGGGGGAUAACUACUGGAAACGGUAGCUAAUACCGCAUAACGUCGCAAGACCAAAGAGGGGGACCUUAGGGCCUCUUGUCGUCGUAUAUUCCCAGAUGGGAUUGGCUAGUAGGUGGGGUAACGGCUCCCCUAGGCGACGAUGCGUAGCUGGUCUGAGAGGAUGACCAGCCACACUGGAACUGAGACACGGUCCAGACUCCUACGGGAGGCAGCAGUGGGGAAUAUUGCACAAUGGGCGCAAGCCUUAUGCAGCCAUGCCGCGUGUAUGAAGAAGGCCUUCGGGUUGUAAAGUACUUUCAGCGGGGAGGAAGGGAGUAAAGUUAAUACCUUUGCUCAUUGACGUUACCCGCAGAAGAAGCACCGGCUAACUCCGUG
RNAcentral lists this ribosomal RNA (490 nucleotides) under uncultured bacterium. RNAcentral's name for it is "partial 16S ribosomal RNA". It matches the Rfam family "Bacterial small subunit ribosomal RNA", at positions 30 to 507 of the family's 1533-position model. The record is from RNAcentral.